UACGGAGGGGGCUAGCGUUGUUCGGAAUUACUGGGCGUAAAGGGCGCGUAGGCGGCGCGAUAAGUUGGGCGUGAAAGGCCCGGGCUCAACCCGGGGACUGCGCUUGAUACUGUCGCGCUGUGAGUCCGGGAGAGGAUGGCGGAAUUCCCAGUGUAGAGGUGAAAUUCGUAGAUAUUGGGAAGAACACCGGUGGCGAAGGCGGUCAGCUGGACCGGCACUGACGCUGAGGCGCGAAAGCGUGGGGAGCAAACAGG
This 254-nucleotide ribosomal RNA is filed under the name uncultured bacterium. Its description in RNAcentral is "partial 16S ribosomal RNA". It matches the Rfam family "Bacterial small subunit ribosomal RNA", at positions 524 to 776 of the family's 1533-position model. The record is from RNAcentral.